UUUUUCAUUUCAGACAUGGGGGGGAUGGGGACUGGCUCUGUUUACGCAAACGCAUGCAUUCAAAUAGAUGGAAGCAUACAUAAAAAGAUAGACAGAAAAUUGAUCCUAGCAAAAAUCCUUUUCACAUUCUCUCUCCUCUCGUUUCAGCCUCUCAAAGCGAGCCUUGAUCACAGGGAGCUGAGCUCUUUGCCAACACAGCCCUUGGCAAGGGCUGAUCUCUGAGCGCACGCCUGGUGCUACUGACGGGGCAGGGAUUUAACAGCUCACGCAACCAAACCCUCAACUCAGCCUUGUCCUACACCCUCCUCCUCACACAUGGCUGGUGCAUCAUUGCAUGGGAGAUUCAUGCCCUGGCCAGGGAACUGAAUUUUUCUUUUUUCCCCAAGGAAGCAAAGACCAACUCAUCUUGCCAUGGGCAUCAAGGAUCCCAGGUGAGCAGCACAAUACAGCCCCAUGUCAAGGUGUGCUUAACAUCAGCUUCCCACUCCUCAGGACAGACACACAUCUUCACUUCCCAGGGGAGCACCCAAGCUGUUAAUAAGGGCCUGGAGGUGGAAAGCAUUACGUUCAAGAGCAGAGGGAGCAGCAGUAGCUGUGAGAAGCAGCCUUACAAACUGGAACCAGAGCUGGCAGCAGUGCUGGAGCACUGGCAUGGAUCAGGCUGAAGAAAAAGAAUUAACAGUUCCAUGCUCAGAAGCCUGGAGAGUGAGAAAGCAGCUGUCACCUAUGGACGGAGGGGAAAUGCUGAGCUGCCACACAUAAACUCAGCGGGCUGUUUAAAGAAGAUGCACACAUCUGAAUGCUCUCACUGCUGCUGUUCCUUUCUGAAUUUGGCCUUGGCACCAUGGCAGGGAUCAGCCCUGCCUGCAGGACAGGAGUGGGAUGGGAUGGGAUGGGAUGGGAUGGGAUGGGAUGGGAUGGGAUGGGAUGGGAUGGGAUGGGAUGGGAUGGGAUGGGAUGGGAUGGGAUGGGAUGGGAUGGGAUGGGAGAGGGGCUGGGUGAGGUCACGCGUGCCGGGCACGGCGGCGGCUGCGAGCGCACCUGAGAGAGGGGCUGGCACCAUAAAAUAUGCAUGGGCCCUUCUGCAGCAAACAAAUCUACUUAAUUGA
This 1109-nucleotide long non-coding RNA is filed under the name Junco hyemalis (dark-eyed junco). RNAcentral describes it as "lncRNA (ENSJHYG00000014176.1)". The record is from RNAcentral. Lineage: Eukaryota; Metazoa; Chordata; Aves; Passeriformes; Passerellidae.